UCGUCUGCUCUCGUGAAUCAUCGUCGUCGUCCUCUUCUUCCAACUGGAUGCUGUCGUCUGCUCGCUGUUUCGCCAACUGCAUCGUUAGAACGUGAAGCGUGAACCGCAUGGCCCGAAAAACUCGCCGAAAACGGGCCGAACCGAAUUCGGAGCCGAACUUUUUUCGUGCCCCACCCGGAUGGAGGCGAAGUGCACGCCGAAAUUCGGCCGAAAACUGUCAUGGUUGCUAAGUUCAUGUGCAGUAACUGUCUCGUUACAUAUAUUGUGUAUGCGCUUACUUCGACAGUGUUUUUGCGUAUUCCUCCUUAAAUGAGUUUUUAUGCUGUGUUAAAUUUCCUGCAUCGCCGUACUACGCUUGGUAAGGUCGAAAAUAUGAAUAGAACUUUCCAGAUGCGAAACUGUGGCGCGACCACUUGCCCUCUUCAUCGUUCUCGAUUACUGCGUUCGCGUUUACCUAACUUUGCAUUGCGAAUUUGCGAUUAUUCUUCCAAAUACCGAUUUCUCGCUUCGUGUUGUUGGACGACCAUGGAGAGAAGACGACGGUUGCUGCUGCUGAGGGAAAUCUUGCUUCUAAAGCAACGGCAGCGCAUGUACCGCUCUUCGCGGGUCCGCCCUGUAUGGAGAAACAGGAAAGACGAAAGCGAGUACUUCACUGCGAUGAAAACCAUGAGAGAGACGAACCCGGAGCUUUUCUUUAAGUUCUACAGGAUGACUCCCGAGCUGUUUGACAAGCUCCACGAGAUGGUCAGGGCACAGCUCACCAAGCAGCAUUGCGUGAGGGAGCCAGUUUCUUCCGGCGAGCGCCUCGCCAUGACACUAAGGUACCUCUCCUCUGGCGACCCAAUACAGGAUAUUGCUCUCAGCUUCAGGGUCGGGGUGGAAACAGCUCGUGAGGCGAUCCAUCUCACGUGCCAGGUGAUUUGGGAUACCCUCUCACCAUUAUACAUGAAGCCUCCCACCGAAGACGAAUGGAGGAAAAUAGCGGAUGACUACUGGCAACGUUGGCAGUUUCCAGCAUGUGUAGGUGCCGUCGAUGGCAAGCACAUACAGAUAGAAUGCCCAAAGAAGAGCGGGAGUUUGUUUUUUAAC
Ornithodoros turicata is the source of this 1089-nucleotide long non-coding RNA. RefSeq lists it as uncharacterized. The record is from RefSeq and is a predicted model, not a curated record. The transcript is spliced from 4 exons. Lineage: Eukaryota; Metazoa; Arthropoda; Arachnida; Ixodida; Argasidae.